CGACGUCAUCGUUUCUAGAUUUCUCCGAGACAACUGUUUGAAUGUCUCCUUCCUCCAUUGUUGUUCAUUGUAAGGACAGCGACACUUAGCUGCAAACUAUUGCAAGUUUCAGACCCAGGGGGCAGUCCGUGACCUCAGUAGUGCUGAUGGUUGUAGCAGACGGUUGACCACUUGAAGGGUGGCCAGUGACGGCGACUGCAGUCUUUCCAGGUCGACAACAUUUUUUUAAGGGCUUCAUGAAUAUCCCUGCAUCUUCAGACAAACGAAGAAGGACCCGAUGUUGUGAUGUAGUCAAGGGUGACCAUAGACACCAAGUGUUGUGGUCGACCUGUCCAGCCUGCAGACGUCAAACAUCAAAGGCUGUGUGUACUGGCACGUGAAUGUCUACAAACUCUGUCUAGGAAAACAUUUGCUCCGUCGACAGUGUCUAUGUUUAUUUGACUGUUAGGUAUCAUCUUUAUCUGGUUCUUCUUCCUCUAACACUUAACACCUUUAACUUCCAUCAUGACCAUUGAAUAUUUUUUUAGACGGCGUAACACUCGAUAAACAAAUAGCUUGCUCUGAGGGUAAUACUCGCACCCUGGAUUUUAAGAUUUCCUACAGGCCGAACUGAGAGGUUAGCAGGCAUUAUUAAUCCUGUCGGUAUUGUACAAGAUCACAGGACGCAAAGUAUGUCUACUUAAAAGACGAUGUUUCUCAGGUUAAGAAGGAUAAAAGUACUAGCUCGGUCCUUUUGCUCCCUUUCAGUCUUUAUUGUGAUUCUUUAUUAUGUAUUAUUUGUUUCAAAAGAGCUUGACGCGGCAAGAACAGAGCCUUGUUUCGAAAAAGCACUAAGGACAACGAACUAACCCCUCAAACAUGCGUACAUCCCGAUCUUAACCCCUUCAACCCGACAAUCAUACAAUUCCAUAAAAAGUACCCACCCGUGGAUUGUAGCCCCGCCGAGGAAGACUGGGUGUACACCAUCAACGGCACGUUUCGCAUCUCAGAGCGCGCACGUCAACUGUACGGGAAGGUCACGUGCGAGUACAUCCCACUCGAGCGUCCAGACGACUUCUCCGUCCGUGAAGGUCUGCAUGUCAAGCCCAUGCUGGACGGUGCACCGCUAACAACGGACUUCUUCAAGGUGGACUGCGUGUCAAGCACCGGAAAAAGAUACGUGAACAUCCACUGUGGAGUGGCAAGGAACGACGCCGUCUUCUCUCGGCUGAAGGAAAUGGCCGCAAAGAAAAAUAUUUACGGUCCUCUCUACCGUCUUUGGGAAACACCUUGUCAUUCCGCACGCAGACAUCGAAACCAGAUUCUGUUUCGUCGUCCCACUCCCUCAUUCCAAGAGUCUGCCUGGCCUCAACUUGAGUGUGUUUAUUUUGGGGUUCGAUUCCAUGUCUCGCAUGUCCUGGAUUCGUUUGCUUCCACGCUCACGUGCGUACUUUCUGAAUAAACUUGGUGGCAUUGAACUCGAAGGUUACAACAUCGUGGGCGAUGGGACGCCGGCCGCUUUGCUCCCCAUAUUAACGGGUUUCCACGAAGAGGAACUGCCAGAAGCGCGACGGGGCAUGCCCAAUGCACGUCCGGUUGACGGACACCCAUGGGUGUGGAAAGAGUUCGAGAGUCAUGGUUACGUGACGGCGUAUGCAGAAGAUAUGCCAGGUCUUGGAGCCUUUCACUAUCGCAUGCUCGGCUUCAAAGAACAGCCCGCCGACCACAACAUGAGGCUGUUCUUCUUGGCAGCUCAGAAAAUGUUCAGUAAAAGUGCAAGUAACUGUCUGGGCUCUACACCACGUCACCGUAUCUUCAUGCGCUGGUUCGAGGAUUUGUUUGCUACUUAUACGAGCCACCCUAAGUUCUUCUUUGGAUUUCAUGGUGAGAUGAGUCACGACGACAACAAUCCUAUACAGACCAUCGAUGAGGAUCUGAUGUUAUUUCUUGAAAGACUAGACAAGAGUGGUCACCUCAAUUCCACUCUUCUCAUUCUCAUGGCUGACCAUGGAGCCAGAUUCUCUUACAUGAGAGCCACAAAGCAGGGAAAGCUAGAAGAGCGCAUGCCUUAUUUUUCCUUCCGUUUUCCGCCAUGGGUCAAACAAGUUCAUCCUCAGCUUAUCCGCAACAUGGAGAUAAACACCAAGAGGCUGACGACGCCGUUUGACAUUCACGAGACCCUGCUGGAGGUGCUGACUUAUAGCGGGUCAGGGUUGGGGGACAUCUCCAAGAGAGCCAUCAGCCUUUUCAAGGAAAUUCCAAAACAUCGGAGCUGCAACCACGCUGGGGUGACUCCUCAUUGGUGUGCCUGCCUGAAGUGGGACACCCUUAAUAAGACUGACUUUAUCGUGUUGUCGGCCGUGAAGUCGACAGUAAGUGUGAUCAACUCGUACACAAAGUCCAACCGAAAGACAUGCGCACUGCUCCGCCUAAAGAACAUAACUUCCGCAGUACGGUACGUUCCCACGUACGAAGACUACGUGGCCGAGCACAAACUGCGGCAGUACAUACAAAGUUUUAGUCAGCAUAGGGAACGGGACUAUCUAGAUGUAAAUCAAGAAGUCUAUCAGGUGUCCUUCAUCACUCAGCCAGGAAACGGCCAUUUUGAAGUGACGUGCACUCUGGAUACAUCUACAGGAAAGUUCAUAGUAGCGAGCACCGACAUCAGCAGAGUCAACAGGUAUGGAAAGGACGCGGACUGCAUUGUAAAGACUUCUCCCCACCUCGGUCCUUAUUGCUAUUGUAAACCAGGUGCAGGAACGGUUUGAGAGGAGUUUCUAAGUUUUUAUAUACAUUUAAGAUUGUGGUGACUUUAGGAAACUUUUGCGCUAUAUAUUUAUAUUACAUUUAUAUUACUUUAUCAUAGCUUUUUAUCACUGUAUGUUGUAUACAUUUUGUGCAAGUUGGAAGUAGUUAAAAGUUUUUUGAUAACUAUUAUUAACAAGAGCGGUGAUUUAAUAUGAGUCCAUAAAAGACAGUACUUUAAAGACACAAUUGUCUCCUACAGUAAAACACAUUUCAUUGCUAGUAAUCAAGCUAGUGUCGUAGCUAUGUCACGUGACCUAACGGGAUUCAUCUCUACCUGUGGUUGCUGCUGAGGUUGGCCGCCGCCGUGUAAGCAUCCCUCGUUCUUUGCGACCUUUCUUGAACUGUGCAAACAUCUGGAUGGACACACCGCGGUGUGAAUGUGUACACGUCCGGCGGUGACAUACGAGCGUGUGAACAGGUCGACAAACAAUGCGGCGGUUGACAGACAACCGGAGGUAAACUGUAGCAUCACAGACAGGCGGUGGAAACCAGGGCAACCGAGCGCCGCGCACAGCCAGCGCAGCAUCUCUACAGGCGCCAGCUUCUAUUCUGGUGUCGGCAUCCCCCUCCUCCCCACCUUCUGUACCUCCGCUAGCUUCGUGCGGUGGUUCGCUCUUGCCAGCACGUAAAACCCUCGAGAGCAUUCUCCGCCGAGCCUCGUCGUCUGCAUCUUUUCAGUCUUCUGUUGGAAGCCACGCAACGGGCAAACUGCUGUCUGCAUUUUACAUUUUCUCUUUUUCUGUCUUCCACACCAGCGUUUUUGGUGUCCGCCUCGGGAAUAAAAUAUUUGUGCAAGCGAAUGAACUUAUCAACGAAUGAAAGUACCACCUGCAUGGAAAUGUAGCCACCGCUACCCCUCCAAGUAAAAAUUACCUGCAGGUUAAGGGUGAAGGCUGCAGAAGGAGAAGAAACAGACUGCCGAGAGGUUAAGUGAACAAGUCAGGCGUGUCUGUGAGAUAACGCGCAGGCUCGCAGGUUCCAGAGCCUGAUGCUGGAAGAACAAGAAAUGGAUGAUGCAUGCUGCUGACAUUGAAGCUCCGGAUGCUAGUGUACAUAGAAAAGAAAACACAGAGCUGUACAGAGAUCAGACUUGCAGAAGCAAGAUGCCUUCGUCAGGUGACGUCGGUGCAGAUGCAUCGAACGAACAUCGCAGUGACGUGCAGCCCGUGUCCGCGCGCGCAUCACAUUCCGCCAGCCUCCGCCAAGGGUCGCAAGGAGCACGACGGUGCGUUCGUUAGUGCACGUGGACUGGCAUCCCGAAUCUGGCAAACUCCUGUUUCAGUGAGUGUUGCGCUGCUUGGCACCUGAGACAGAUCAGAUGCAGCGAAUUCUAAAAGCCUUUCGGAGUCUUCCCCAUCAACGAUUGGAAGCAGCUUCAGCGGCUUCACGACCGUGACUACAUCCUGGUCCUCAUAAACUUUAACCCGAUCUUCCGUCUCUAAGCGGCGGCGCA
Molecule: unclassified non-coding RNA, 4240 nt
Filed under: Pomacea canaliculata
Lineage: Eukaryota; Metazoa; Mollusca; Gastropoda; Architaenioglossa; Ampullariidae
Description: uncharacterized LOC112555358, transcript variant X1
Source: RNAcentral